Leptonychotes weddellii (Weddell seal) is the source of this 490-nucleotide non-coding RNA. NCBI's taxonomy places the organism in Eukaryota, Metazoa, Chordata, Mammalia, Carnivora, Phocidae. The record is from RefSeq and is a predicted model, not a curated record.
GAACUCUCCACAAUCUCAAAGAGCUUGGGUUUCCCAAGUUCAUCCUUGGUUGCACCUACAAGUCCCUAAAGAGAGUGGCAAGAGCACAUAGUAGAAGGCUGAGAAGAAAUAAUGAGUUCUUGUGCCACAUGGGAUUUGCCAGUUUCAAAAUUCAACAGAGGACUAAAAUGGCUGUAGCAUUCACUGGGAUCUUUAUACUUGGAUCAUGAGAUGAUGGAUCUGGCAUACACCACUCAGAAGCCCCUUUCAGGACCAAGGUACUCAUUUCCUCAGCUGUCAUGAUUGUUGACUGCUAAUGGUUCACAGCUGGGUCUCAGGUCAGUAUUUGUGGAGAAAGGAAGCUGAGAUCCAGUGACUGGUUCCAGUGGCCUCCUCACCUCAAUCUGGGAAAUCUCUGAAGCACCAUUACAGUACCAAAGAUGCCAGUGAGACCAGCUAAGACCUCUAUUGCAACCACAUGGUGGUUCAUUUCUCCUUUCCACAGCCCUGC